This 392-nucleotide ribosomal RNA is filed under the name uncultured bacterium. Its description in RNAcentral is "partial 16S ribosomal RNA". It matches the Rfam family "Bacterial small subunit ribosomal RNA", at positions 523 to 918 of the family's 1533-position model. The record is from RNAcentral.
AUACGGAGGAUCCGAGCGUUAUCCGGAUUUAUUGGGUUUAAAGGGUGCGCAGGCGGCCAUUUAAGUCAGCGGUUAAAUCGUGAGGCUCAACCCCAUUCUGCCGUUGAUACUGGGUGGCUUGAUUGCGGUCGAGGUUGGCGGAAUUCGUUGUGUAGCGGUGAAAUGCAUAGAUAUGACGAAGAACACCGAUUGCGUAGGCAGCUGACCAGACCGCAAAUGACGCUCAUGCACGAAAGUGCGGGGAUCGAACAGGAUUAGAUACCUUGGUAGUCCGCACAGUAAACGGUGAAUACUUGUUUUCGGCGAUAUAAUGUCGGAGGCAAAGCGAAAGCGAUAAGUAUUCCACCUGGGGAGUACGCCGGCAACGGUGAAACUCAAAUGAAUUGGCGGGG